This 301-nucleotide ribosomal RNA is filed under the name uncultured bacterium. RNAcentral's name for it is "partial 16S ribosomal RNA". It matches the Rfam family "Bacterial small subunit ribosomal RNA", at positions 509 to 809 of the family's 1533-position model. The record is from RNAcentral.
CAGCCGCGCGGUAAUACGUAGGUCCCGAGCGUUGUCCGGAUUUAUUGGGCGUAAAGCGAGCGCAGGCGGUUAGAAAAGUCUGAAGUGAAAGGCAGUGGCUCAACCAUUGUAGGCUUUGGAUACUGUUUAACUUGAGUGCAGAAGGGGAGAGUGGAAUUCCAUGUGUAGCGGUGAAAUGCGUAGAUAUAUGGAGGAACACCGGUGGCGAAAGCGGCUCUCUGGUCUGUAACUGACGCUGAGGCUCGAAAGCGUGGGGAGCGAACAGGAUUAGAGACCCCCGUAGUCCCUGUCUCUUAUACAC